UACGUAGGGUGCAAGCGUUAAUCGGAAUUACUGGGCGUAAAGCGUGCGCAGGCGGUUGUGCAAGACAGAUGUGAAAUCCCCGGGCUUAACCUGGGAAUUGCAUUUGUGACUGCACGGCUAGAAUGUGUCAGAGGGGGGUAGAAUUCCACGUGUAGCAGUGAAAUGCGUAGAUAUGUGGAGGAAUACCGAUGGCGAAGGCAGCCCCCUGGGAUAACACUGACGCUCAUGCACGAAAGCGUGGGGAGCAAACAGG
This 253-nucleotide ribosomal RNA is filed under the name uncultured bacterium. RNAcentral describes it as "partial 16S ribosomal RNA". It matches the Rfam family "Bacterial small subunit ribosomal RNA", at positions 524 to 776 of the family's 1533-position model. The record is from RNAcentral.